AACCAUAGAAACCUGCGGAGUACCUGCGGAAGGAUCAUUACAAAAAAGACCCAAGGGGUUUUUUGGGUUUCGGCCCAAGAAUACCCAACCCACCUCUUGUGCACUGUUCACGUUCGCUUUGGCAGUUGCUUUGGCUUCUCUGGAAGUCAACUUCUCGCUGGCUCUAUCCUUUUUGGACAGCUGGUGGUGAAGCGGCCUGCCAAGGCUUUUUUUCGAAAUAACGCUUUUAGAAUCUACUGU
Molecule: unclassified non-coding RNA, 240 nt
Filed under: soil metagenome
Description: partial contains 5.8S ribosomal RNA, internal transcribed spacer 2, and large subunit ribosomal RNA
Source: RNAcentral